UGGACAGAUUAUUGUAUUCGACUGUAUUCACGGCAUGAAACAGGGGAUUGUACUGUUUUUAAACGGAAAGUGAAUCAAUUAACAUAAUAGACUCCU
This 96-nucleotide microRNA precursor is filed under the name Nicotiana sylvestris (wood tobacco). RNAcentral describes it as "MIR6152 microRNA precursor family". It matches the Rfam family "MIR6152 microRNA precursor family". Lineage: Eukaryota; Viridiplantae; Streptophyta; Magnoliopsida; Solanales; Solanaceae. The record is from Rfam by way of RNAcentral. RNAcentral also lists the same sequence under 1 other name.